This 585-nucleotide ribosomal RNA is filed under the name uncultured bacterium. RNAcentral's name for it is "bacterial SSU rRNA". It matches the Rfam family "Bacterial small subunit ribosomal RNA", at positions 337 to 916 of the family's 1533-position model. The record is from RNAcentral.
UCCUACGGGAGGCAGCAGCUAAGAAUCUUCCGCAAUGGACGCAAGUCUGACGGAGCGACGCCGCGUGGAUGAAGAAGGCCGUGAGGUUGUAAAAUCCUUUUCUUGGGGAGGAAUAAUCGUGACAGGGAAUGGUCGCGAGAUGACGUUAACCAGGGAAUAAGCCCCGGCUAAUUACGUGCCAGCAGCCGCGGUAACACGUAAGGGGCAAGCGUUAUUCGGAAUCAUUGGGCGUAAAGGGUGCGCAGGCGGUGAAUCAAGUUUGGUGUGAAAGACCUCAGCUUAACUGAGGGGACGCGCUGAAAACUGAUUUACUAGAGUGGUUUAGGGGAGACUGGAAUUCCUGGUGUAGGGGUGAAAUCUGUAGAUAUCAGGAAGAACAUCUGUGGCGAAGGCGAGUCUCUGGGAACCAACUGACGCUGAGGCACGAAAGCGUGGGGAGCGAACAGGAUUAGAUACCCUGGUAGUCCACGCCGUAAACGAUGUACACUAGGUGCUUGACUGUCGCGGUUGAGUGCCGAAGCUAACGCAUUAAGUGUACCGCCUGGGGAGUAUGGUCGCAAGAUUGAAACUCAAAUGAAUUGACGG